AGAUGCUUCAGCACUGGGCACUGCCUU
Molecule: small RNA, 27 nt
Filed under: Bombyx mori (domestic silkworm)
Lineage: Eukaryota; Metazoa; Arthropoda; Insecta; Lepidoptera; Bombycidae
Description: ovarian small RNA-11972
Source: RNAcentral